CAGCAGCUGUCUCUUCUCUUUCUCCCAACACAUACUUCCCAGAUGCCUUCAGAAGUGUUGAUAAGGAAUAGAUAAGCCUCUCCUAAGGCUUAUCAAAACCAUGGAAAGUUGAAAAGAGAAACUUCCUUAAAUGCCAGUUUAUUAAGAAGAACGAAAGUGUAUGAAAUCAGGAUCAAAGAUCUCAGCGCACAUUCCUGGCACUG
Molecule: non-coding RNA, 203 nt
Organism: Microcebus murinus (gray mouse lemur)
Lineage: Eukaryota; Metazoa; Chordata; Mammalia; Primates; Cheirogaleidae
Source: Rfam